UGCCUUGUUGGUAUAGAAGUUGUGGGCACACAAUUUUAUUUUGUGUCUGAAUUAUGCAAUGAGGCUACAGAAAAUACAGGUUAUGCUUCCAUCAUUGUAAGGCAAAUUACAUUGGUGACAAUGAGGCCUGUAAUAAGC
This is a small nucleolar RNA of Sceloporus undulatus (fence lizard), 138 nucleotides long. RefSeq annotates it as small nucleolar RNA SNORA1. The transcript has a single exon. The record is from RefSeq and is a predicted model, not a curated record. NCBI's taxonomy places the organism in Eukaryota, Metazoa, Chordata, Lepidosauria, Squamata, Phrynosomatidae.